AGAGCGAACGCUGGCGGCAUGCUUAACACAUGCAAGUCGCACGGGCAGCAAUGUCAGUGGCGGACGGGUGAGUAACGCGUAGGUAUCUAUCCAUGGGUGGGGGGAUAACGCCGGGAAACUGGUGCUAAUACCGCAUGACACCUGAGGGUCAAAGGCGCAAGUCGCCUGUGGAGGAGCCUUCGUCCGAUUAGCUAGUUGGUGGGGUAAAGGCCUACCAAGGCGACGAUCGGUAGCUGGUCUGAGAGGAUGAUCAGCCACAUUGGGACUGAGACACGGCCCAAACUCCUACGGGAGGCAGCAGUGGGGAAUAUUGGACAAUGGGCGAAAGCCUGAUCCAGCAAUGCCGCGUGGAUGAAGAAGGUUUUCGGAUUUGUAAAGUCCGUUUCGGCGGGGACGAUGAUGACGGUACCCGCAGAGAAGCCCCGGCUAACUCGUGCCAGCAGCCGC
Molecule: ribosomal RNA, 447 nt
Filed under: uncultured bacterium
Lineage: Bacteria
Description: SSU rRNA
Rfam family: Bacterial small subunit ribosomal RNA
Source: RNAcentral